RNAcentral lists this small RNA (28 nucleotides) under Bombyx mori (domestic silkworm). RNAcentral describes it as "piRNA piR-bmo-1746305". The record is from RNAcentral. Lineage: Eukaryota; Metazoa; Arthropoda; Insecta; Lepidoptera; Bombycidae.
GAUAUUUGCUCGGUAGACCGACGGUCCA